CAGGGUCCCAGGUGUGGGAGCUUUUAAAAGAGGCCUUAGAGGUUGUGCUUGUGGUGCUUGUGCUGGGAAGGAUGCAGGUCAACUGAAGCCCGAAUCUCAGUGACAAGCUUGAAUUUGCCUGAUGCACCUCAAGAGCAAGGUCUUGAUACGUUUUAAAAGAAGCACAUGGCCCAGUGAUCGUGAAGCUGAUGGUGAAAAGAAAUCAAGGGGAAUGCUUCUCAUGCUCAGCUCAGAGGCUAGCAUGUGUAUUCUUGAAGAUUUCGCCGCUCUGUGGGAAGGUGACCAAGGCUCUCCAUCCGUUCAGAAACUACCUGGCUGGCAAGGGACAGCACUGCAAGUGAGUAAAACCCAAGGUCAGACCCUCACAUCCCCUAUUCCAGCAUUUCAAAAGGGCAUCCAAAAUGUAGAAAGUCAGUCUCCAUCAAAACUCAAAACAAGAAUCUAGUCCCAAGUCUUGGGCCAUCUUGAGCAAGGCCUCCUGCCCUGGAGGAUGCCCCAGGGUGGCCACCAGCACUCCAGGACAUGCAGGCUCUGGGACGGUGCUGUGAAGCUGCAAGAUGCUGCAGCCUCCUUGCUCAGAAAGGUGAGCGGGAUCAAUGUGCCCAAUAACCUGUCAUUAUGGAGUGAGCUGGGCUGGAGCAGCCACUCCAGUCCCCUGCCAUUAGCAAGGCAUAAUUAUUCCUGACAUUGGCCAAGAAAUUGCUGAGGAUGGGGAGCCGAGGGGGGCCGGGAUGCAAUCCCAGCUCCUCACCCUGGCGCUGGGCAUUUUGGAAGUGACUAAGCAAAACCUGAGCAUUCCCUUUUGCUUUUCAAAGAGAUGGAGGGAUUAGGAAGGCAGGAAGGGGACUUUCAGAUAGGUUCAGAUCGGGGUGAACUGGGCAAAUAUAAGCAGGGAAGACAGAGGAAAGCCUGGAGAAGGCAGGCACGUGGCUUUGGACUGGACCUGGUGGAGGUUUGGGAUGAGAGCAGGCAGCCGUAGCACUGACGUUGGCAGCGGCUGUGUCUUGCCACAGCCCCUAUCGCAGCACCGCAGUCAGGCAAAGCAAACACGGCCCUAAAUGGAGCCCUCUGGCUGCCCUGCCGAUAAGCAGCACACGCUGGUAGCGGAGACAGUUGCCUGUUGUUCCCCGUGACGCAGCUCUGCUUUUCAGCCCCGGCCAUGCGUGGAGAAGGUUUCUGCUAAGCCCCUGUUUGAUCAGAACCAGCGAUGCUCAGACUGCAGCCCUGCUUUUAGAUGAGCCAAGGGUACGGGGCUGGUGCGGCCCCACUGCCCGUUUUGGGUCAGUGUCAUCAGCUCAUGUCCCACACCUUGUGGCAGCCCUCAAGGACCUCAUCCAGGGCAGGGGAGAUGCAGGGUCACUCCAGACUUUGGAUGGUCAGGCAGUCUGGUCUCCAUCUUCACCUCCAAGAUAGAAGAUGCCUUUUAUGUUAUUCCCACUGGUUUACUCCUGGGAUAUUCAUAUCUGUGGUCCCAAACAGGAACACUGGGCAGACACAUGGUCAUGAUGACCUUCAGAGGGACCUCAGCAGGCUGGAGAGGUGGGCAGGAGGGAACCUCACAAAGCUCAGCAAGUGAAAAUGCAAAGUCCUGCCCCUGGGGAGGAAUCACCCCAUGCACCAGUACGUACUGGGGGCCAACCAGCAGGAAAGAAACUUUCCGUGGAGCCCUGGGGCUGCUGAUGGACCUGGCUGGACCCAACCCCAAGAAAGACUGGGGCUCUGCUUGAGCUCAACCAGGUGAUCCCCAGAGACCCUUUCCAACAGCAACCAUUCUGCCAUUCUGGGCUUGUCAAUGGAAAGAAAAAGAAUGGAAAAGAUAAUAAUAAUAACAAUAACAAUAAUAAGCUUUUGAAAUAGAUCCUCUUGUAAAUCCCACCUGAAAAACCUCCAAAACAGAAAGAAGAGGG
Long non-coding RNA from Cygnus olor (mute swan), 1907 nucleotides. RefSeq lists it as uncharacterized. The transcript has 3 exons. Lineage: Eukaryota; Metazoa; Chordata; Aves; Anseriformes; Anatidae. The record is from RefSeq and is a predicted model, not a curated record.